GGAGAGGUGGAUGAGUGGUUUAAGUCGCACGCCUGGAAAGCGUGUUUAGGUUAAUAGCCUAACGGGGGUUCGAAUCCCCCCCUCUCCGCCA
Molecule: transfer RNA, 91 nt
Filed under: Chromobacterium violaceum
Lineage: Bacteria; Pseudomonadati; Pseudomonadota; Betaproteobacteria; Neisseriales; Chromobacteriaceae
Also listed under: 18 other names
Description: tRNA-Ser(gga)
Rfam family: tRNA
About the family: Transfer RNA (tRNA) molecules are approximately 80 nucleotides in length. Their secondary structure includes four short double-helical elements and three loops (D, anti-codon, and T loops).
Source: RNAcentral